AUACCUUAAUAGUAAUUGUUUAUGUUGCAACAUUAUGCUCGCGUCAUUCUGUUCCAAAUAUGUUUGCUUGUUCAAAUUGUAGCCAACUGCUGCACGCCGAAGGCGGAGAAAUGUGGACAUACCUAAUCGCAAAGUUACUCUAUCAACGUCAUUCAGAGUCAAGCGUUUAUUUACGACAAGUCGUGCCAAUGGUUACAGCGCUGGUGAUGAACGAUAUGUGGUCUUAGCGAGCCUUUUGCUGGCGAAAAUAUUCUUCGAUAGAUACUAGACUACCAACAUUUUCAGUCGGGCGAAACGCGAAAAAUGUCAGAUUACUCUCGAACUGUCUCAUAAAAUUUGAAACGACAAUAACAGUAUAAUUUUUCAUGCUGUACUCUUUACGCUGGCAAAACAUGAAACAACUUUCUAGUAACUGUCUUAAACAAACAGUUAUUUUCAAUUGAUUGGCAAAAUAUUUAACGGCAAAGGUUUAACUACAAAAGUGGAGUGGGGACACUUUAUUCCAAUUCUGCUACCACUUCACCUUUUUGCAUGUAAAUACUAUUGUGCUGGAACUAUACGUGGGAAAACAAUAGUUUGAAGAUAAUGAUGUUUUAUUAAGUUCUGAUCUGUGUUGUUUGAUUUCAUUGACGAAUAUAACAAGUGUUGUUACAUGUUCAAUUUGUUGUUACUCAAGCAUUAUGAAAAUUCAAAGAUGAAUCAAUAUCUGAAUUCUGAUUAAAUUACUUUUCUCAAUUUAACAAUAAUGUUAA
This is a long non-coding RNA of Pecten maximus, 752 nucleotides long. RefSeq lists it as uncharacterized. The record is from RefSeq and is a predicted model, not a curated record. The transcript has 2 exons. NCBI's taxonomy places the organism in Eukaryota, Metazoa, Mollusca, Bivalvia, Pectinida, Pectinidae.